GUACAAGCCAGGACUGCUUGCUUGGAUAAGUAGACCUGUGUCAUGGAGCAAGUGUUCCACGAUAGGAAAUGCAAGACCAGCAAUGUCCAGGAAGUUCCAGGACAGCCAGUGACCUGCCACGGCAGGCAGCAGCCCCUGGGCCUGGGUCAGAAAGGCACAGCUAGCUGGUUGGAGGAGUCCCCCUCGCCCCUUCCAUCAGAGGCUGGAAAAGGAAUAUGAGAUUGUCUGCAGAGACAAAUGGAAAGCCCUUCAGACAGCGGCCUGGGACCGCGCGCGCCUUCUCCAGCCGGUUCAGCAAGAGGAAUGGUCACUGGAACGGGAGGAGCUGGCAGAAGAGGAAGGAGCACUGACUAAGACUGACUUGAGUGCCCAGAGCAUGGCUGCACCCUUGGAGCAUUUGCACACUCAGAGCACAGGAGCCAAUCAUCAUCCCAGACUCUUCCCUCAGCCAUCUGAGGGGAAAAUGGCAGGUAAAAUGGGAAUCAUGAUAUUUUCUUAAAAUGAGGAAUUAUAAACACACGUGAAUCUGUGACCAGUGAGAGUUUUGGAGGAGAGAGGGGGGCUAGGGCUCCUCCCCCAGACCACACCGCCACGCCCACAAAUGCGUUUCCAAUUACACCAUCUAUGGAGGAUACGGCAAGCCCUUGCAAACUGGUUACCUGGAAAGAAAGGAGAGAAAUUGUGUGAUGUGGUGAGGUGGGGACCUGUGUCCCCACCAAAUCUCAUGUUCAGUUGUUAUCCCCAGUGCUGGGGGUGGGGCCCGGUUGGAGGUGGUUGGAUCACUGGGGUGGAUCCUUCAUGAAUGGCUUAGCACCAUCACCUGGUGCUGUCUUGUGAUAGAGUUCUCAUGAGAUCUGGUUGAUUAAAAGUGUGUGGCGCCUCCCCCACCUCUCUCUCAUGGUCUGGCCAUGUGAGACGCGCCUGCUUCCCCUUUGUCUUCACCAUGAUUGUAAGUUUCUUGAGGCCUCCCCAGAAGCAGAUGUCCCCAUGCUUCCUGUACAGCCUGCUGAACCGUGAGCCA
This 1021-nucleotide long non-coding RNA is filed under the name Homo sapiens (human). RNAcentral's name for it is "HSALNT0273913". The record is from RNAcentral. Lineage: Eukaryota; Metazoa; Chordata; Mammalia; Primates; Hominidae.